GGGGGCGUUUGGUUUCGACGGGGGUGGCAGUGGUAAGAGCUGCAGGCCGAGCUUUCCGACUCGUAAAUCCGGAAGCGAAUUUAAACGCCAAUAACGAUUUAGCUUACGCUGCUUAAUUAAAGCGGUGCGUCCUUCCUUGGCUUUGCCCGAGAGCCGGGGAUAAGGGCGUCAAAAAGUCGGGAUUUUCUUUUGGCAUUGCUCUGGUGCUAAAAGAGAAACUUACAGAGCUGGCCGAGCUUUAAUCCUUCCCUCAGGAGUAAAGCCGGCAAGAUUUAAAAUGAGGGAUAAGCUUGUAGACGCUCUUAUUGAUGUACCUCCGGACAGGGGUUCGAUUCCCCUCGCCUCCACCA
Non-coding RNA from Tepidanaerobacter acetatoxydans Re1, 350 nucleotides. It matches the Rfam family "transfer-messenger RNA". From Rfam's summary of the family: Bacterial tmRNA, also known as 10Sa RNA or SsrA, is named for its dual tRNA and mRNA-like properties. Its role is to liberate the mRNA from a stalled ribosome. To accomplish this part of the tmRNA is used as a reading frame that ends in a translation stop signal. NCBI's taxonomy places the organism in Bacteria, Bacillati, Bacillota, Clostridia, Thermosediminibacterales, Tepidanaerobacteraceae. The record is from Rfam.